RNAcentral lists this ribosomal RNA (899 nucleotides) under uncultured archaeon. Its description in RNAcentral is "bacterial SSU rRNA". It matches the Rfam family "Archaeal small subunit ribosomal RNA", at positions 152 to 1053 of the family's 1478-position model. The record is from RNAcentral.
CCCGAUAGGACUAUCCACCUGGAAUGGUUUGUGUUCCAAAUGAUUUAUCGCCGUAGGAUGGGACUGCGGCCUAUCAGUUUGUUGGUGAGGUAAUGGCCCACCAAGACUAUUACAGGUACGGGCUCUGAGAGGAGUAGCCCGGAGAUGGGUACUGAGACACGGACCCAGGCCCUAUGGGCGCAGCAGGCGAGAAAACUUUGCAAUGUGCGAAAGCACGACAAGGUUAAUCCGAGUGAUUUCUGCUAAAGAAAUCUUUUGUUAGUCCUAGAAACACUAACGAAUAAGGGGUGGGCAAGUUCUGGUGUCAGCCGCCGCGGUAAAACCAGCACCUCAAGUGGUCAGGAUGAUUAUUGGGCCUAAAGCAUCCGUAGCCGGCUCUGUAAGUUUUCGGUUAAAUCUGUACGCUCAACGUACAGGCUGCCGGGAAUACUGCAGAGCUAGGGAGUGGGAGAGGUAGACGGUACUCGGGAGGAAGUGGUAAAAUGCUUUGAUCUCUCGAUGACCACCUGUGGCGAAGGCGGUCUACCAGAACACGUCCGACGGUGAGGGAUGAAAGCUGGGGGAGCAAACCGGAUUAGAUACCCGGGUAGUCCCAGCUGUAAACUAUGCAAACUCAGUGAUGCAUUGGCUUGUGGCCAAUGCAGUAUUGCAGGGAAGCCGUUAAGUUUGCCGCCUGGGAAGUACGUACGCAAGUAUGAAACUUAAAGGAAUUGGCGGGGGAGCACCACAAGGGGUGAAGCCUGCGGUUCAAUUGGAGUCAACGCCGGAAAUCUUACCCGGAGAGACAGCAGAAUGAAGGUCAAGCUGAAGACUUUACCAGACAAGCUGAGAGGUGGUGCAUGGCCGUCGCCAGCUCGUGCCGUGAGAUGUCCUGUUAAGUCAGGUAACGAGCGAGAUCC